UUGGUGCAGCAGAGAGGGAAGGAGGACUGGUGGGUGUGACCAAUAAGAGAAAAGAAAAAGUGUUGCAGUGCAAAGCAGACAACUCAGUAUGAAUGGUGGAGCAGCACAAGAAGACAAGUCUGGUGCAGGGCGAUGGGCAAAGUUAGUGAGGAGACUAGAUACGUGGGAGACAGAGGAGGAGGAGGAGGAGGAGGAAGAAGAAGAAGAGGGGAGACAGGAGGAGGAAGCGCGCACAUGGCUCGCAAGUGCGCUCAGGAUGACCUUUUACGCGGUGCCAAAAGUUUGAAAGUGAAAGAAAAAGAGUGCGCCAGGUGAAGUGUGCACAUGCUGCGGGGCUGGAGGUGAGAGGACGGGACGUGCGGAGUGCCGGUGAAGUGGAAGGUGAGCAGAGAAGACCAUCCGAUGAAGAGGAGGAUGACGACGACGGACAAACUGGACUUAAGCCGCAGGAUUGAGAAACGGGCUCGUUUUUUUCCUCCAUGAUCAUCCAUCCCUGACAAGCGGUGGGGAAACCACCUGAGCGGGGCACAUCUGAGAUGCCGCUGAGUCAGCCUGGGGUCAUGACCUCAUGGUCGUCAUGAGAUGGGACGGCCCGUUGGACGGCGACCGCAGGGGAGGUGGUGCCGUGACUCGCGGUUUCCGCAGCUGCCGCUUCUCGUCCAGGAAGAACAAAUUCAAGAGGUGUGAAGGGGAAGGGAGCCCUUUUUUUUUUCUUUUUACUGUUGCAUUGACCAUAAGUUCCCAUGAAAUCACCUGCAGGAGGAUGAGAUGGUCCGACCGCCGGGGGCUCUGGGCCAAACUGCUUUUCCGGCUUGUGGUUUUUCUCCACAGCCAGCGAAGGACAGUGAACGCUGACUGCUGGCGACCACAGGAAGUAGAGGAUGACUAAUCCCCUGGCGGCAGCGUAUUCAUCAGUGAUUAUACAGCAUUGUUGUUUUAUUUACAGCAACGCAACUCUAUCAAUGUGUUUCAUAAAAAUCAUGCUGACAAAACCAGCUGUUGUCUCACAUCUCAUUCGUCUCUGGAGAUUUUUGAACACAACUGAAUAUUGACUCAAAUAUGAGCCGAGAUAAAUAAUUUUACAUGUAAA
This is a long non-coding RNA of Scophthalmus maximus (turbot), 1090 nucleotides long. RefSeq lists it as uncharacterized. The record is from RefSeq and is a predicted model, not a curated record. The transcript is spliced from 4 exons. Lineage: Eukaryota; Metazoa; Chordata; Actinopteri; Pleuronectiformes; Scophthalmidae.